UGUCCAAUGCGGGAAUCGAACCCGGGUCCUACUGGUCGAAAACCAAACGGUUUAACCAGCCUUCCACCGACAGACAAAAC
This 80-nucleotide transfer RNA is filed under the name Cordylochernes scorpioides. RNAcentral's name for it is "tRNA-Glu". Lineage: Eukaryota; Metazoa; Arthropoda; Arachnida; Pseudoscorpiones; Chernetidae. The record is from RNAcentral.